Non-coding RNA from Thamnophis elegans (Western terrestrial garter snake), 463 nucleotides. The record is from the annotation of a RefSeq genome assembly. NCBI's taxonomy places the organism in Eukaryota, Metazoa, Chordata, Lepidosauria, Squamata, Natricidae.
CAAAGUUUGUGCAAAGUUCAUUAGAGGGAGCAAAAAUGAUCCUGUGGCUAAACGUAUUGUCCUUAUUAGCAGUCUUGAGAGGUGUCCACUCUGCAGUCAUGCUGGUGGAGUCUGGAGGGGCUGUGAGAAGACCUGGACAGUCCCUCCGUCUCUCCUGUCAAGGUUCUGGAUUCAACUUUGGUAAUAACGGCAUGAACUGGGUGAGACAGGAUCCUGGAAAAGGGCUGGAUUGGGUAGCCUACAUAAGCUACACUUCUGGUACUACUUACUACUCAGACAAAGUCAAGGGCCGCUUCACCAUCUCCCGGGACAAUGGCAAAAGCCAGCUGUAUCUGCAAAUGAACAGCCUCAAAACUGAAGAUACAGGAGUCUAUUACUGUGCAAGAGGCACAGUGAGAGGAAGUGAAUCUGAUGCUAAGCAAAAACCUUCUCCUCCUCUGAGCAGCUUUCCAAAAUGAUUCAG